RNAcentral lists this ribosomal RNA (504 nucleotides) under uncultured bacterium. Its description in RNAcentral is "partial 16S ribosomal RNA". It matches the Rfam family "Bacterial small subunit ribosomal RNA", at positions 29 to 507 of the family's 1533-position model. The record is from RNAcentral.
ACGAACGCUGGCGGCGUGCCUAAUACUUGCAAGUAGAACGCACAGUUUAUACCGUAGCUUGCUACACCAUAGACUGUGAGUUGCGAACGGGUGAGUAACGCGUUGGUAACCUGUCUGGUAGCGGGGGAUAACUAUUGGAAACGAUAGCUAAUACCGCAUAAUAUUUUUUAUUGCAUGAUAACUUAUUUAAAGAUGCUAUUGCAUCACUACUAGACGGAUCUGCGUUGUAUUAGCUAGUAGGUUAGGUAACGGCUCACCUAUGCGACGUUACAUAGCCGACCAGGGAUGGUGGUCGGCCACACUGGGACUGGGACACGGCCCAGACUCCUACGGGAGGCAGCAGUAGGGAAUCUUCGGCAAUGGACGAAAGUCUGACCGAACAACGCCGCGUGAGUGAAGAAGGUUUUCGGGUCGUAAAGCUCUGUUGUAAGAGAGGAACGGGUGUGAGAGUGGAAAGUUCACACUGUGACGGUAUCUUACUAGAAAGGGACGGCUAACUACGUG